UACGGGGGGGGGCAAGCGUUGUUCGGAAUUACUGGGCGUAAAGGGCGCGUAGGCGGCUCGGCACGUCCGUUGUGAAAUCGCCCGGCUCAACUGGGCGGGGUCAGCGGAUACGGCCGAGCUGGAGCAAGCUAGGGGGUAAUGGAAUUCCCGGUGUAGUGGUGGAAUGCGUAGAUAGUCGGGAGGAACACCAGUGGCGAAGGCGGUUACCUGGAGCUUUGCUGACGCUGAUGCGCGAAACGUGGGGAGCGAGCCGG
RNAcentral lists this ribosomal RNA (254 nucleotides) under uncultured bacterium. RNAcentral describes it as "partial 16S ribosomal RNA". It matches the Rfam family "Bacterial small subunit ribosomal RNA", at positions 524 to 776 of the family's 1533-position model. The record is from RNAcentral.